Molecule: ribosomal RNA, 424 nt
Filed under: uncultured bacterium
Lineage: Bacteria
Description: bacterial SSU rRNA
Rfam family: Bacterial small subunit ribosomal RNA
Source: RNAcentral
GCAUGCCUUACACAUGCAAGUCGAACGGCAGCACGGGAGCAAUCCUGGUGGCGAGUGGCGAACGGGUGAGUAAUAUAUCAGGAACGUGCCCAGUAGUGGGGGAUAGCCCGGCGAAAGCCGGAUUAAUACCGCAUACGACCUGAGGGUGAAAGCGGGGGAUCGCAAGACCUCGCGCUAUUGGAGCGGCCGAUAUCAGAUUAGCUAGUUGGUGGGGUAAAGGCCUACCAAGGCUACGAUCUGUAGUUGGUCUGAGAGGACGACCAGCCACACUGGGACUGAGACACGGCCCAGACUCCUACGGGAGGCAGCAGUGGGGAAUUUUGGACAAUGGGCGCAAGCCUGAUCCAGCAAUGCCGCGUGCAGGAAGAAGGCCUUCGGGUUGUAAACCUGCUUUUGUCAGGGAAGAAAUCUUCUGGGCUAAUAC